Molecule: ribosomal RNA, 413 nt
Filed under: Spionidae sp. 159-Ifr-0510
Lineage: Eukaryota; Metazoa; Annelida; Polychaeta; Spionida; Spionidae
Description: partial 16S ribosomal RNA
Rfam family: Bacterial large subunit ribosomal RNA
Source: RNAcentral
GCAUAAUCAUUUGCCUUUUAAUUAAAGGCUUGUAUGAACGGACACACGAGAGCCCUGCUGUCUCAUCAAUAGCCCUAAAAACUACCCUUCAUGUGAAGAGACAUGAAUAAAAUAAAAAGACGAAAAGACCCUAUGGAGCUUUACUUAAAUAAGGCAUAGGCGCACACACACCUAUUCUUUAAAAAGUUUAGUUGGGGCGACUAAGGAGCAAACUAAAACCUCCUUCCCAUAAAAGAAAAUAAAUCCUCAAAAGAUCCACUAAAGUGAAUAAAGAUCCAGCUACCCUAGGGAUAACAGGCUAAUCCUCUUUAAGAGCCCAAAUUGACAAGAGGGGUUGGCACCUCGAUGUUGGCUUAAGGCACCUUCAAAAUGCAGCAGUUUUGACAGUAGGUUUGUUCACCCUUUAAAGCCUU